Molecule: long non-coding RNA, 685 nt
Organism: Dendroctonus ponderosae (mountain pine beetle)
Lineage: Eukaryota; Metazoa; Arthropoda; Insecta; Coleoptera; Curculionidae
Exons: 2
Source: RefSeq, a predicted model, not a curated record
UUUAUGGUUAUAAUAUAUUGAUUCUGAUGAUUGGUUAGGUACUUAGUUUUGUUAAUAUUGAUUUUUAGGCUUAUUUGCUCUGAUUUCUUGUUUAGUUCUUCAAUCAUACUCUGUAGUUCAUCUUGGUCCCGUUCUAUCAAUGUGAUGGCAUCCGCAAAUUUAAGGUGACUUAGCCUUUCGCCGUUUAUGAGGAUACUUUUUUCUGCCAGUUUAGCUAUGUAUGGCUGUUGCGAUGUAGCGUUUCCAUAUAUAUAUAUUUGUAUAUCAAUAAUCGAUUCUCGCAUUGCUUAGAGCAUUCAAUACUGCCUAUCUCUAUUGAGUCGAGUGCCUUUUCAUAGUCUAUCAGUAGUACUCGAAGUGUUAUGUUGUACUCAUUUACCUUUUCCAUUAAUGUUAUUGUUACAUGUAGGUGGUCUAUAGUGCUAAAAGCCUCGUUUGAAACCCGUUUGCCCUCUCGGUGGGUCUAUUUUAUUGAUUUGGAUCAGUCCAUCAGUUUAUACAAACCAGGGCCGGCACUCACGAUACAACGGCGUCGGGCCGCUUUUGUUGGAUGCAAUCGAUGAAUGUGAAAUAAAUAUGGGGUCCACUUAAGUCCACGAAUGUUUGGUAAACAAGGUACUUACGGAGGUUUACGACUAUUAACACGAUUGUGGGAUAAUUACUGGAAAUAAAAUUAUGAUAUAUA